GUGAUCAUGUGCGUCACAAAACGACCAUUUCAAAAGUCGCAGGAAGCCCCAAGCGGGAGACAGCAGGACAGAAACAAAACUCUUCAAGUUUGAGGUCCUCAGCUGAUAUGAACCCUUUGCUAAGUCCAGCAGGGACAAUCGGUAUGUAGCAUAACGUUAAAUACAAAAAAAAAAAUUCAUGGAGAAUGGCUGUGCAGCAAACAAAGAUCCUCAAAGGUCCUGAAGUCACAUGAUGGACAUGUUGACAGGACAAGGAUGUGAACAGAUUGCGGAGCUGCUGUGGAAAUUUCUCCAACUUUUUUUCCACUGCCCUGGAGGUCAGAUUCCAGGUUGAGGUACAGGACAGGUCCUCAACACUGCAGAGUUCAUUGUGGGCUAUCGUUCAUUGUACAGUUUCCUUUUCUAACUUAAUAUUCAUUCAUUAAAGGUACUGGUUUUACAAUCAAAA
Micropterus dolomieu (smallmouth bass) is the source of this 448-nucleotide long non-coding RNA. RefSeq lists it as uncharacterized. Lineage: Eukaryota; Metazoa; Chordata; Actinopteri; Centrarchiformes; Centrarchidae. The transcript is spliced from 3 exons. The record is from RefSeq and is a predicted model, not a curated record.